Molecule: RNA transcript, 2182 nt
Organism: Nycticebus coucang (slow loris)
Lineage: Eukaryota; Metazoa; Chordata; Mammalia; Primates; Lorisidae
Gene name: caprin-1-like
Exons: 1
Source: RefSeq, a predicted model, not a curated record
AUGCCCUCGGCCACCAGCCACAGCGGAAGCAGCAGCAAGUCGCCCGGACCUCCACCGCCGUCGGGUUCCUCCAGGAGGGAGGUGGCGGCAGGAGCCGGGGCAGCUGCGCCAGCUUCUCAGCACCCGGCAACCGGCACUGGCGCUGUCCAGACCAGGCCGUGAAGCAGAUUCUCGGGGUGAUCAACAAGAAACUUAGGAACCUGGAGAAGAAAAAGGGUAAGCUUGAUGAUGAUCAGGAAUGAAUGAACAAAGGGGAAAGGCUUAAUCAAGAUCAGCUGGAUGCUGUGUCUAAGCACCAGGAUGCUCACAAAUAGCUUGGAGUUUGCAAAAGAACUACAGAGGAGUUUCAUGGCAUUAAGUCAAGAUAUUCAGAAAACAAUAAAGAAGACAGCAUGUCGGGAACAGCUUAUGAGAGAAGAAGCCGAACAGAAACGUUUAAAAACUGUGCUUGAACUGCAAUAUGUUUUGGACAAAUUGGGAGAUGAUGAAAUAUGAACUGACCUGAAACAAGGUUUGAAUGGAGUACCAAUAUUAUCUGAAGAGGAAUUGUCAUUGUUGGAUGAAUUCUACAAGUUGAACGAGCAAUAUGAACAUGCCUCCAUUCAUCUGUGGAACUUGCCAGAAGGGAAGGAAAAAUCUGUGUGCGGAACCACUUACAAAGUUCUAAAGGAAAUUGUUGAGCGUGUUUUUCAGUCAAACUACUUUGAUAGCAUCCACAACCACCAGAAUGGUUUGUGUGAAGAAGAGGAGGCAGCCUCAGCACCUACAGCUGAAGACCAGGUAGCUGAAGCUGAACCUGAGCCAGCAGAAGAAUGCACUGAACAAAGUGAAGUUGAAUCAACAGAGUAUGUAAACAGACCAUUUAUGGCAGAAACACAAUUCAGCAGUGGUGAAAAGGAGCAGGUAGAUGAGUGGACAGUUGAAACAGUUGAGGUGGUAAACUCGCUCCAGCAGCAACCUCAAGCUGCAUCCUCUUCAGUACGAGCCUCACUCUUUGACUCCAGUGGCUCAGGCAGAUCCCCUGGUAAGAAGACAGGGAGUACAAGACUUUAUGGCACAAAUGCAGGGGCCCUAUAAUUUCAUACAGGAUUCAACGCUGGAUUUGGAAAAUCAGACACUUGAUCCUGCCAUUGUAUCUGCCCAGCCAAUGAAUCCAACACAAAACAUGGACAUGCCCCAGCUGGUUUGCCCUUCAGUUCAUUCUGAAUCCAGACUUGCUCAACCUAACCAAGUUCCUAUACAGCCAGAAGCUACACAGGUUCCUUUAGUUUCAUCUACAAGUGAGGGGUAUACAGCAUCUCAACCUUUGUACCAGCCUUCUCAUGCUACAGAGCAACGACCACAAAAGGAACCAAUUGAUCAGAUUCAGGCAACAAUCUCUUUAAAUACAGACCAGACAACAGCAUCAUCAUCCCUUCCUGCUGCUUCUCAGCCCCACGUGUUCCAGGCUAGGACUAGCCAACCCUUACACAGUAGUGGAAUUAAUGUAAAUGCAGCUCCAUUCCAAUCCAUGCAAACGGUGUUCAAUAUGAAUGCCCCAGUUCCUCCUGUUAAUGAACCAGAAACUUUAAAACAACAGAAUCAGUAUCAGGCCAGUUAUAACCAGAGAUUUUCUAGUCAGCCUCACCAAGUAGAACAAACAGAGCUUCAGCAAGAACAGCUUCAAACAGUGGUUGGCACUUAUCAAGGUUCCCAGGACCAGUCUCAUCAAGUGACUGGUAACCACCAGUAGCCUCCUCAGCAGAACACUGGCUUUCCACGUAGCAAUAGCCAUGGUGUAUCUCGUGGAGGCUUCCGUGGUGCUAGAGGCUUGAUGAAUGGAUAUCGGGGCCCUGCAAAUGGAUUCAGGGGAGGAUAUGAUGGUUACCGCCCUUCAUUCUCUAACACUCCAAACAGUGGUUAUACACAGUUCAGUGCUCCCCGGGACUACUCUGGCUAUCAGCAGGAUGGAUAUCAGCAGAAUUUCAAGCAAGGCUAUGGGCAGAGUGGACCACGGGGAGCCCCACGAGGUUGUGGAGGGCCCCCAAGACCCAACAGAGGGAUGCCGCAAAUGAACACUCAGCAAGUGAAUUAAUCUGAUUCACAGGAUUAUGUUUAAUCCCCAAAAACACACUGGCCAGUGUACCAUAAUAUGUUACCAGACGAGUUAUUAUCUAUUUGUUCUCCCUUUUAGGAAACUUAU